This is a non-coding RNA of Heterocephalus glaber (naked mole-rat), 5412 nucleotides long. NCBI's taxonomy places the organism in Eukaryota, Metazoa, Chordata, Mammalia, Rodentia, Bathyergidae. The record is from RefSeq and is a predicted model, not a curated record.
UCUUGGCAUGACGUCACACAGGGGAGGGGGCAAGGCACGAUGGGAAGAGGGCAGCUACGAUACAUAAUAGCUGCUGAGCUAGCGGGAGACCUGUCACCCACAUUAUCAGAUUCCGGGGGUACAUAAUAGCUGCUGAGCUAGCGGGAGACCUGUCACCCACAUUAUCAGAUUCCGGGACAAGAAUCGAAUCAGUCUUCCCAUCAGCCUCCAGCCCGGACCCCCGGACGGCGCAGCGGAUUCUGUCCUCCUCCUCCUCCUCCUCCUCCUCCUCCUCCUCCUCCCGAGCAUCUGCGUUAUUUGCUGCACCUGCUAGUUAUCUCCAGACUGCCAGUUCACCCACAGAAAUUGUAAGCUCCCUGAAGGCGAAGGCGAAGACUUUACAGACAGAAGUCUCACAGCAGUUAGUGCACACGAGCACGAGGCGGUCAAAUACGUGAAGGUCAUGAUGUUUUUAAAAGUCACGCAGAGGAUUAAAAAAUAAGGAUAAAAGGGGCCAUCGGUAUACAGUGGACAAGUACAUCUCCCAUACAAACCUAGAUACAGUGAUAGACCGAGCAUAAUAAGCAUGGCUUCUGCCCACUGCCCUCAGCGUAGACCGCCACUUUCAAAAACAGCUUAAGCAUUCACAAGGCGGAUCGCCACGCUUAGCGGUGCUGUAAUGUAUUUAUCUCUAAAGAGCCUCCAGUGCUGCCACUGUUGCCCAAGAGGGAGGAGAAAGGAGCAGUGAAGGACAUCGGCAACGCCUAAACUCAGACACCGAGUCAGUAUCUGAAAAAAGGGGCGAGCAGCCUGGAGACUGCAGCCUUACACAGGUGCGCAAAAAAGUCAAUCUCACGUCAGGCGCGGUGGCCCACGCCUGUAAUAUCAGCACUCUGGGAGGGGGAGCCAGGGGGACCGAAAAUUCAGAGCCCAGUGUGGGCAGCUUAGCAACUUGCUGAGACCCUGUCUCGAAAUGAAAGGGGCUAGGGAUGUAGCUCAGUGUGAAGGCCCCGGUUCAAUCCCCAGGCAAUACCAGGGGGAAAAAAAAGAAUUUACGUUAAACCUUUCAUCUUCAGUUGGGUUAUUUAUGCGGCAGUGGUUAGCCGUCCAUGUUCCAAGUGUAACCCUGGUAGAUUAUGCCAAAGCUUGGGCAGGCAGAUCCAAAUAGCCCCGACCGCCUCUCUCUACCCCGCAGAGGACCCCGCUGGAAGCUAACCAGUGCCCGAGCAGCUGGCCAAGUUCUCAGCUGUCCACUUUCUGCCCCUCAUCGGGCCAUCAUGCUGUCCUCCCUGCAUUUGGAACACCCACCAGUUUAGUGAACGCUAUUUUGCUUAAAUAUCUUUUAUACCCCAUUAGUUAACUUUUCAGCAAAUUCUGCUUUCUUCCCACCCUUUUUAAUAUAAACAUUUGAUGAGAAGUAAAGAUGCUGGAGAUCAGGGAAGGGCUUUGAAUUUAUAUCACCUUUUAGGAAAUGGUGAAGUUUUGCUGUAGUUAGUUACCAUGACCACAGCAUGGUGGGUGCUCUGUGAAAGUAUUUUCUCGUGGAUUGAGAAUAAAAGUGAAGUCGCAUCCCUAAACGCAUCAGGAAGACUGUACCAGAAAUACAUCCUGUACAAUAAAUACUGUGUACUAGAAAGGUACAUGAACCUCAGAAGAUUAUAGAAAUGGCCAACAAGAGACACGGACACACAAUCACAAUACGCAUCUACUGGCAGUAAAUUUCAGCUCUUACCUCGCCCCGUAAACAAUUUCACUCCUUUUCCGGAUGGUCCCAAAUCACGGAUAAUCAGCCACCAGUACUUCUCAAGGUAACACGCCUCCGAUGAGGAAUCACAGCCAUUUUCUGUUUCGGGAGAGCAGUGCCUACAAUCUUAAAUUUGAGGUCUUCCCCUUUCCCACUCAACAGCCAAAGCAGUCACUCUUCCUUUCUCUCAAUAAUCUGCAUUUCAUCUACAUUUGAAUCCCAGGAGCCCGAGAGGGAUGGGGGAUGGGGCUUUCAAGACGAAAGGAACCAAAAAUCCAGUAACCACUACUCUCCAAGCCAAAGGCAUUGUAAGUUUGGGUGUCUGGGAAAAGCUGCUGAUCUUGAGUCCUCUUUCAGCACUUCCUACCCUCCUAAGCAUCUUGGUCGCCUGCUCCAAAACUCAAAAUUUAAUUGUGGUUUUGAUGAAGAAAAGAUCAAUGUUUGUUUAAAUACACUGAAGCUAAAAAGGAAAUUAAAUACUGUUCUUGUUAUGGGAUCCCCACUCCGUAAAACUUGCUGGAAUUCCCUCACCCAGUCAUCUACUCAAAGGAAAGUAAGAACGAAUCCAACCUAAGAUGCAAGAGGAAUCAGAGCACCAGUCAUAAGAUGAAUUCAGAUGCGAGGGCCUUCUUUGAACUUGAAGCCAAGCAGUUUUUCCUUCCCCAAGGGUUUAAACUGGAUACCAGUGCCCUUUUCUGGCUCCUGGUUUCAGCUGCUGUUUCCUUCCCUGGUCCAAUAGUCAAUUUCCCCAUUUCAGCUGGCAGCCUCUCCCUGCCUCUCUCUGUCCUGGCCCUUGGGUAUCAUUUCUCUCUUUCGUGUCAACGCCAGUGGCCAGCUGCCCCACUGCUGCUUUCUGGCCACAUACCACCAUUUAUUUAACUCUUUGCCCUAUGGAUGGCAAAUCUGAGACUUCUUAACAUUUGAUUUCAUCAAUGUCUUCUUGGGCAGAGGUACUACCACUGCUCAAAACCGAGAAAUUUACAGCUAAGGGCCAUUUUCUUUGUCAUCUCAAUGUAACUUUAUCUAUGUAUCUCUUUCUGUUUCUCUGUGUCUGGCAGUUUAUGUCAGGUGGGCUUACACUCGCUAUGUAGACCAGGCUGGACGUGAACUCCGAAGCCUCUUGCCCUAGCCUCCCAAGUGCUGGGAUUACAGGCAUGCUCCUCCACACCCAGCUGGAUCUACCUGCAGUUCUUUUUUUAUUUAGCUGAUGGUGAUUCUAUCCAAAAGAUCUUUGUAAUAUGUAUUUUUUUUCUGGUACCAGUGAUCAAACUCAGGACCUUGUGCUUGCCAGGCAGGCAUGGCACCACUGAGCUAAAUCCCUGGCCCUGUAAUGUGUAUUUUUGUCCCUUCUUUUAACUGGAGUAACUGAUCAAGAGCAAGGUAGUUUUCUUAUUAAUGACUGUGUACAUUUCCCCAACUUCUGGAGAGAGAAGAGACCAAAAGUCAUAAAGAGCAAAGAGCCGCAAGACACUACCACUACUUUUUGAUCGACUUGAUAUCAGAGAAGUAACGAAUUCAUUGUGAACUCUCAAUAAAACCAGCAAAGUUCCAGGAAUCAAACUCAGGACCUUGUGCUUGCCAGGCAGCCGAGGCCCCGCUGAGCCACUUCCCUGGCUGCCCUUCAUUUUUUGCUGUGCCCUAACUUUCAUCUUGGAAUCAUUUUCCUGCUGCUUGAAGAACUACUUGAAGGACGACGUGAACUGCUUGAAGGAUUUACAAGGAAGUGAGUUGAGAACAACGAGGGAAGAAUGGGACCAGAGCCACAGAUACCAUGCAAGCACUGCUUAGAUUACUGGCUGGAGCGGAAGGUCCCUGGGACCUCAGCUAGCAUCGUGUAAGUGGUCACCAUCAGCUUCAUGGGGAAGAGCACUUGCACCAAAAAGUAUUUCUGCAGCAGACCCACCCACGGUGCUUAACAUUCCUACAUCGAAUUUGAGACACAGCUUCGAGAGGAUCUAUUUGAAGGUGGAUUUAUCUUAACUGUAACUGGGGAGUGCUCAAUCUGGGUCUUCAUCUGCCCCUCAGAGCUUGUCUUAAAUUAGCCGUCAUGUUGUGGAAUUUUUAGGAAGUGUAGAAAAUGGUUGGGAGCAAACAUUAGUUUUGCCACAGCUACUUGGAACAUUUCUACACAGAUCAGUAUGAUAACAUAGUUGGGUUGGGUCGGGUCUACAGUUGCAUAACAUUUGAUAAAUUGUGAACAUGUUAAUAUUUCCACAUCAAGGAAUGGAGCAUUGCCAACAGACUAUAGUUUGGGGUGGGAUGGAGCUGGGAGAUGGGCUGUUUGGGAGAGAACGCAAGAAAAAAGUGUGGGGUGAAGCCAUACUGAUUCAUCUAUUUUUCAGAAAGUCAGGUUUCCAUCUACAUGAAGCCCAUAUGUUCUCCGCUUUACUACAGAUCUUUCAACCCAGAAUUUUCCUUUCUUGUCAAGCUUCUUUGGUCCCUUUAUGCUAAUUUCCUCCUAGCUUAGGUCCAGAUUUCUCACUCCAAAUAGCUUACUUUUACAUAUACCUUCCUCUAGGCCAGAAAUAGCCUCUCCUUUGCUUUGCUGAAGCUUCCUGUCCUUUCUCUGUUCCUUGCCAAAUCCACGAAUAUUCCUCUAAGCAAGGCAAACUUUUUUCUGACCAAUCUAAAAAGAACUGAUGCUUUCAGCAUUUACUGCUGAGCCUGUCAACUGCAUAGUCCUCUGAAAGCAGCAUAAACGUUCAUUUAUUCUUGGGUAUGUUUUCUACUUGAAUCAUCAUUUCUUUCUUUUUUUGUAUUGCUAUGCUGUUCUCUGUCUUGGUCCUUGCGUGUGUUUGGAUGCAUUGCCGCUGCUCUGCUUUAGCAAGAAGGCCCCCAAAGGGGACUUAGGCAACACAGGACAUAGGAGUCCGCCAUGAUGAUGUGGUCAAACACUGGUCGCUCAGUACCGCAUUUCUACCACCAAUGUUCAUGGGACACUGAGUGGGAGCAUAUUCUUUCUUGAGUACAAGAGCAUUGGCUAUCCAGCUGAGGUCGGUUCAGUGGGGGAAAAGCUAUUCCGACCCCCAGGUUGACUGUCUACCGUCAGCAGAAGAAACAACAGACUUGCGUUCAAGAAUUGGGGUACAGUAAAACAGGGAUAAUUUGUCCAAGAAAAGUGAUUUGUGGAAAAGUUAUUUUUAGUUAUUGGUCCUAAAGUUUCAAAAAUAAAAGAUCAAUAAGCUCUUUCAGUUUAAGGGCUAGGAUCUGAAAAGUUGCCAAAAAUAAAACAUUGAAAGCAUUUUAAAUGUCUUAUGGAUAAGCACAACUAAAUAAAUUAUGGUAUAUCUAUACAGUAAACUAGUAGCCCUUAAAACAGAUGUUUAUGAGAUUUUAAAUGAGAUGGAGAGAUAUAUAUGUUUUACUAUUAACCUAAAGAGUUUGACCACAGUGUGUAAAAUAUCUAUGGAAGAAAACACAUAAGAAAAAUUUUAAGAAGACUUACUCAUUUUCAUUAGGAAAGAAAAUGAGGUGACUGCAGAAUAUCAGAAGGAGUACCUUUAUACUUGCUUGUUCUUUCUGAGCUUUAGAAUGUGUAAAUAUUACAUUAAAAAAAAAAUAAGAUGCAGAAGUAAAAUAAAGAAUUAGGAAAUGUAAAGUAUAAUUUCAACUAUGUAAAAAUAUAAACAAAAAAUAUCUAGCAGAAAUAUCCUAAAAUAUCACCAAUUAUUUCUCUGUACAUAGAGUAU